RNAcentral lists this ribosomal RNA (1333 nucleotides) under Microbacterium sp. Its description in RNAcentral is "bacterial SSU rRNA". It matches the Rfam family "Bacterial small subunit ribosomal RNA", at positions 26 to 1368 of the family's 1533-position model. Lineage: Bacteria; Bacillati; Actinomycetota; Actinomycetes; Micrococcales; Microbacteriaceae. The record is from RNAcentral.
AGGAUGAACGCUGGCGGCGUGCUUAACACAUGCAAGUCGAACGAUGAAGCCCAGCUUGCUGGGUGGAUUAGUGGCGAACGGGUGAGUAACACGUGAGCAACCUGCCCCUGACUCUGGGAUAAGCGCCGGAAACGGCGUCUAAUACUGGAUACGAACAAGAAUCGCAUGGUUACUUGUUGGAAAGAAUUUUCGGUUGGGGAUGGGCUCGCGGCCUAUCAGCUUGUUGGUGAGGUAAUGGCUCACCAAGGCGUCGACGGGUAGCCGGCCUGAGAGGGUGACCGGCCACACUGGGACUGAGACACGGCCCAGACUCCUACGGGAGGCAGCAGUGGGGAAUAUUGCACAAUGGGCGCAAGCCUGAUGCAGCAACGCCGCGUGAGGGAUGACGGCCUUCGGGUUGUAAACCUCUUUUAGCAGGGAAGAAGCGAGAGUGACGGUACCUGCAGAAAAAGCACCGGCUAACUACGUGCCAGCAGCCGCGGUAAUACGUAGGGUGCAAGCGUUAUCCGGAAUUAUUGGGCGUAAAGAGCUCGUAGGCGGUUUGUCGCGUCUGCUGUGAAAUCUGGGGGCUCAACCCCCAGCCUGCAGUGGGUACGGGCAGACUAGAGUGCGGUAGGGGAGAUUGGAAUUCCUGGUGUAGCGGUGGAAUGCGCAGAUAUCAGGAGGAACACCGAUGGCGAAGGCAGAUCUCUGGGCCGUAACUGACGCUGAGGAGCGAAAGGGUGGGGAGCAAACAGGCUUAGAUACCCUGGUAGUCCACCCCGUAAACGUUGGGAACUAGUUGUGGGGUCCAUUCCACGGAUUCCGUGACGCAGCUAACGCAUUAAGUUCCCCGCCUGGGGAGUACGGCCGCAAGGCUAAAACUCAAAGGAAUUGACGGGGACCCGCACAAGCGGCGGAGCAUGCGGAUUAAUUCGAUGCAACGCGAAGAACCUUACCAAGGCUUGACAUAUACGAGAACGGGCCAGAAAUGGUCAACUCUUUGGACACAUCGUAAACAGGUGGUGCAUGGUUGUCGUCAGCUCGUGUCGUGAGAUGUUGGGUUAAGUCCCGCAACGAGCGCAACCCUCGUUCUAUGUUGCCAGCACGUAAUGGUGGGAACUCAUGGGAUACUGCCGGGGUCAACUCGGAGGAAGGUGGGGAUGACGUCAAGUCAUCAUGCCCCUUAUGUCUUGGGCUUCACGCAUGCUACAAUGGCCGGUACAAUGGGCUGCAAUACCGUGAGGUGGAGCGAAUCCCAAAAAGCCGGUCCCAGUUCGGAUUGAGGUCUGCAACUCGACCUCAUGAAGUCGGAGUCGCUAGUAAUCGCAGAUCAGCAACGCUGCGGUGAAUA